AAAUUGGAAAGCCCAUCUCUGAAACACAUUCGAGAUGCUCUGAAAAAGGUUGACAUGAACAAACAUUUGCUAUGCCAGAUAUUCAGGGAAGACCUUAGUCUGAUUGAUUUUGAAAGUCGGCUGCAAAGCCCUGUUGCGGAUGAAG
Molecule: long non-coding RNA, 145 nt
Organism: Mytilus californianus (California mussel)
Lineage: Eukaryota; Metazoa; Mollusca; Bivalvia; Mytilida; Mytilidae
Exons: 3
Source: RefSeq, a predicted model, not a curated record